This 385-nucleotide ribosomal RNA is filed under the name uncultured bacterium. RNAcentral describes it as "bacterial SSU rRNA". It matches the Rfam family "Bacterial small subunit ribosomal RNA", at positions 30 to 416 of the family's 1533-position model. The record is from RNAcentral.
AUUGAACGCUGGCGGCAUGCUUUACACAUGCAAGUCGAACGGUAACAGGGUGCUUGCACCGCUGACGAGUGGCGAACGGGUGAGUAAUACAUCGGAAUGUACCCAGUAAUGGGGAUAACGCUUCGAAAGGAGUGCUAAUACCGCAUACGCCCUGAGGGGGAAAGUGGGGGACCGCAAGGCCUCACGUUAUUGGAGCAGCCGAUGGCUGAUUAGCUAGUUGGUGAGGUAAAGGCUCACCAAGGCGACGAUCAGUAGCGGGUCUUAGAGGACGAUCCGCCACACUGGAACUGAGACACGGUCCAGACUCCUACGGGAGGCAGCAGUGGGGAAUCUUGGACAAUGGGCGAAAGCCUGAUCCAGCAAUGCCGCGUGCGUGAAGAAGGCC